CAAAUUAGACUAUAAUAGAAAGUAAAACCAAAAAGUAACCACGAUCAUAAAAUAAACAAAUAUAUAUAUGUAAACAAACAAUACAGAAUACUAAAUGGAAUACACCCAAAUUCUACUUUAUGUCAUUUCACUUUGACUUGUAAAUAUCUGCAUUUGCAUCACUCCAAGAAUCCUUUUUCUUUUGGUAUAUAUAAUUCAAUUAUUAAUCCUAGUGUGUUUGUACAUAGUUACAGCUCAAAAUUCAAUGAGGUUUUCACCUGGAAGGAGUGUGGUCGGCUGUCGGGCGGUGCUCGAUUCGGGACCGCUUGGUCAUGACAGCACUGUGCAAUGCAUUUGCUUAUCGGGCACUUCCAUUGUGAGAUAUCCAACACAACAGGGUAUGCAAAUAAAAAUUGAGCACUAUUGUUUGUAUUGUAAUAAAGUGAUUCGAAAUGAAACUUACAAUUUAUUAUUAUUAUGUGUUUCC
RNAcentral lists this long non-coding RNA (466 nucleotides) under Androctonus crassicauda. Lineage: Eukaryota; Metazoa; Arthropoda; Arachnida; Scorpiones; Buthidae. The record is from RNAcentral.